This 880-nucleotide ribosomal RNA is filed under the name uncultured Acinetobacter sp. RNAcentral describes it as "bacterial SSU rRNA". It matches the Rfam family "Bacterial small subunit ribosomal RNA", at positions 45 to 916 of the family's 1533-position model. Lineage: Bacteria; Pseudomonadati; Pseudomonadota; Gammaproteobacteria; Moraxellales; Moraxellaceae. The record is from RNAcentral.
GGCUUAACACAUGCAAGUCGAGCGGGGGAAAAGUAGCUUGCUACUUAACUUAGCGGCGGACGGGUGAGUAAUACUUAGGAAUCUGCCUAUUAGUGGGGGACAACAUUUCGAAAGGAAUGCUAAUACCGCAUACGUCCUACGGGAGAAAGCAGGGGAUCACUUGUGACCUUGCGCUAAUAGAUGAGCCUAAGUCGGAUUAGCUAGUUGGUGGGGUAAAGGCCUACCAAGGCGACGAUCUGUAGCGGGUCUGAGAGGGUGAUCCGCCACACUGGGACUGAGACACGGCCCAGACUCCUACGGGAGGCAGCAGUGGGGAAUAUUGGACAAUGGGGGGAACCCUGAUCCAGCCAUGCCGCGUGUGUGAAGAAGGCCUUUUGGUUGUAAAGCACUUUAAGCGAGGAGGAGGCUACUCUAGUUAAUACCUAGGGAUAGUGGACGUUACUCGCAGAAUAAGCACCGGCUAACUCUGUGCCAGCAGCCGCGGUAAUACAGAGGGUGCGAGCGUUAAUCGGAUUUACUGGGCGUAAAGCGUGCGUAGGUGGCCAAUUAAGUCAAAUGUGAAAUCCCCGAGCUUAACUUGGGAAUUGCAUUCGAUACUGGUUGGCUAGAGUAUGGGAGAGGAUGGUAGAAUUCCAGGUGUAGCGGUGAAAUGCGUAGAGAUCUGGAGGAAUACCGAUGGCGAAGGCAGCCAUCUGGCCUAAUACUGACACUGAGGUACGAAAGCAUGGGGAGCAAACAGGAUUAGAUACCCUGGUAGUCCAUGCCGUAAACGAUGUCUACUAGCCGUUGGGGUCUUUGAGACUUUAGUGGCGCAGCUAACGCGAUAAGUAGACCGCCUGGGGAGUACGGUCGCAAGACUAAAACUCAAAUGAAUUGACGG